CCUACGGGCGGCAGCAGUAGGGAAUUUUCGGCAAUGGGGGGAACCCUGACCGAGCAACGCCGCGUGAACGAAGAAGUUAUUCGUAAUGUAAAGUUCUUUUAACAGGGAAGAAAGAGAAAUUUGACGGUACCUGAAGAAUAAGCCCCGGCUAACUACGUGCCAGCAGCCGCGGUAAUACGUAGGGGGCGAGCGUUAUCCGGAUUCACUGGGUGUAAAGGGAGCGUAGACGGCCGUGCAAGCCAGGAGUGAAAGCCCGGGGCCCAACCCCGGGACUGCUCUUGGAACUGUGCGGCUGGAGUGCGGGAGGGGCAGGCGGAAUGCCUGGUGUAGCGGUGAAAUGCGUAGAUAUCAGGAGGAACACCGGCGGCGAAGGCGGCCUGCUGGACCGCGACUGACGUUGAGGCUCGAAAGCGUGGGGAGCGAACAGGAUUAGAUACCCGAGUAGUC
This 447-nucleotide ribosomal RNA is filed under the name uncultured bacterium. RNAcentral's name for it is "partial 16S ribosomal RNA". It matches the Rfam family "Bacterial small subunit ribosomal RNA", at positions 338 to 795 of the family's 1533-position model. The record is from RNAcentral.